This 327-nucleotide ribosomal RNA is filed under the name uncultured eukaryote. Its description in RNAcentral is "partial 18S ribosomal RNA". It matches the Rfam family "Eukaryotic small subunit ribosomal RNA", at positions 1470 to 1796 of the family's 1831-position model. The record is from RNAcentral.
CCCUUAGAUGUUCUGGGCCGCACGCGCGCUACACUGACGAAUGCAACGAGCUUAUAACCUUGGCCGAAAGGUCUGGGUAAUCUCCAAAUUUCGUCGUGAUGGGGAUAGAUUAUUGCAAUUAUUAAUCUUCAACGAGGAAUGCCUAGUAAGCGCAAGUCAUCAGCUUGCGUUGAUUACGUCCCUGCCCUUUGUACACACCGCCCGUCGCUCCUACCGAUUGAAUGGUCCGGUGAAGCGUUCGGACCGUGGCCUUUGGACGGUUCGCCGUCUGUUGGCUGCGGGAAGUUCGUUAAACCUUAUNAUNNNGAGGAAGGAGAAGUCGUNACA